This 600-nucleotide ribosomal RNA is filed under the name uncultured Actinobacteridae bacterium. RNAcentral describes it as "bacterial SSU rRNA". It matches the Rfam family "Bacterial small subunit ribosomal RNA", at positions 252 to 866 of the family's 1533-position model. Lineage: Bacteria; Bacillati; Actinomycetota; Actinomycetes. The record is from RNAcentral.
GUGAGGUAACGGCUCACCAAGGCAUCGACGGGUAGCUGGUCUGAGAGGAUGAUCAGCCACACUGGAACUGAGACACGGUCCAGACUCCUACGGGAGGCAGCAGUGGGGAAUAUUGCACAAUGGGCGAAAGCCUGAUGCAGCAACGCCGCGUGCGGGAAGAAGGCCCUAGGGUUGUAAACCGCUUUCAGCAGGGAAGAAAAUGACGGUACCUGCAGAAGAAGGUGCGGCCAACUACGUGCCAGCAGCCGCGGUGACACGUAGGCACCAAGCGUUGUCCGGAUUUAUUGGGCGUAAAGAGCUCGUAGGCGGUUCAGUAAGUCGGGUGUGAAAACUCUGGGCUCAACCCAGAGACGCCACCCGAUACUGCUGUGACUUGAGUACGGUAGGGGAGCGGGGAAUUCCUGGUGUAGCGGUGAAAUGCGCAGAUAUCAGGAGGAACACCAGUGGCGAAGGCGCCGCUCUGGGCCGAAACUGGCGCUGAGGAGCGAAAGCGUGGGUAGCAAACAGGAUUAGAUACCCUGGUAGUCCACGCCGUAAACGUUGGGCACUAGGUGUGGGUCUCAACCAACGAGAUCCGCGCCGUCGCUAACGCAUUAAGUG